AUGACAAGGGAGAUUCGGGACAUGACACACCUGAGCAGUCAGACCGUUCUGUUUAAAGCUCUGCUGGGCAGAGUGCAGGGAAAGAGUUCAUAGGAGGGUGAUGGAAGACCUGUGGAUAUCCCAAAACCCCAAAACAUCCACCUGCUCUGCUGUGCUGGCCAGGAAUUAUAGGACAGCUUGGAUUGGAAAGGACCUUAAAGAUAUUCCAGUUCCAAUUCCCUGCAUCCCAGAAGUUGGAGCAAACGGAUUGGAAUCGGAGGAAGGAAGGAAAGAUUGAUCCUCCUGGUCUCUGCUGCUUGCUGCAGUCAGCAUGGAAGCUGUUUGGAUGUGGCUAAUAAAUGUAUGUAGGUCAUAAUCCCCAGGGUCCUCAUGCUCCCAAUAAUAGGAAUAAUUAACAGCAAUUUCUUUUGCUGUGCUCCUUCUCCCCAGUUCACAAAAGGAGGAGGAAGAGGAGGGGAAUGGAGCUAAGGAAUAGAAGUGGCCUUGACUAUCCAGACUCAAAAGAGAAUUUCUUGGUGCUCACACUUUUGGAAAGGAGGAUCUGGAAGCAGAUUCAUGAGGUUCUGCAGAGAUAAAGCAAAACUUGUCAAAGGGGUGUUGCUGCUUUUUUGACAACACAAAGAUCAACAGGGAAAUGCCUUCCUGUGGUUGGAGAAAGACACUGUCCAAUUGCCAAAAUAUUGAAUUUCUUCUCUAUUUCCAUGUUAAUGACUCUACAGAGAGCUUGGGGGCUUGAAAGGAGCAGGGUUGGAGCAGCAUCCUCUGGCCAGAGGGAGUGCAAAUCCUGAGUCUGUUACAGUUUCUGACAAGGAA
This is a non-coding RNA of Cyanistes caeruleus (blue tit), 813 nucleotides long. NCBI's taxonomy places the organism in Eukaryota, Metazoa, Chordata, Aves, Passeriformes, Paridae. The record is from RefSeq and is a predicted model, not a curated record.